Molecule: long non-coding RNA, 2121 nt
Organism: Elaeis guineensis (African oil palm)
Lineage: Eukaryota; Viridiplantae; Streptophyta; Magnoliopsida; Arecales; Arecaceae
Source: RefSeq, a predicted model, not a curated record
UCGUCGGUCGGGUUCCCCGACUGACAUCCUCGUGGAGAGGUUCUGGCCAUGAUGCUAGAACCGAGGUCGGAGGAUGAAGAAGAAGAAGAAGAGAGGAGGUCCAAAGGAAGCGAAGGAAGCAAAAGAUGCAAGGAGGCAAAAAUCUCGAGAAAAAGCUUCCCGAGGAAGGAGACAAGCACAACUACCUGGAACUUGGAACUGGGGGACCACUCGACCAGAGUCUCGGCAACAGGGCUAUGAAAAGUGGAGUUUUGGAUACAGGUGACCCUAUAUAUAGUACCCCUCGACGGUCGGGAUGAGAGCACGCCCAACGAGGGUCUCCUAGAUUUUGACACGUGGCAGCAUCUGGACCUUCCCUCGGUUCGACGAUUCGACGCACCUGCUCCAGAUCAAGCCACGUCGCCUCCAUCCGUCUGAACGGAUUCGGCCCAAUGGCCCCCUACCAUGUGGCGAAAAAAUCGCAUCUUAGGAUUCACUAACCGACGGCGGUCUGCGUUCCCGAGGAGACGGCGGAAACGGCGGAUCCUGUUCCCAAUGGGACGUCUGACACCAAUGGGACGUCUAACACCAAUGGGACGUCUAACACCAAUGGGACGUCUGACACCAAUGGAACGGCUGACGUCGGAUCGUUCAUUGGUACGGUCGUCAGAGUCGAAGCAUGAUGUGAUGGAUAUCCACUCCUUUCGUUCGAAGCCGUCGCCCACGUGGAAACGCUGGCCAGCACGACAUCCGACUCAGGAGUGGGGGGGGCAACUGUUGGGAUAUACUGACCGACCCCUUUUAUGCCGACUCACCUUCGGGUCUGUCCGACCAGCGUCCGACUCUACCGACCGCACCGACCGACGACUGUCAACAAUAGCCACCGACAUUAUCCGACCGAAGGUGUGUCGAUCGGACAGAUCCAUUCCGUUCCCGACUAGCCGAGCGGCGGAGCCCAGAUUACCGACUCACUGUCGGACGGGGGUGGCAGCCGACGUCCGACUCCCGCAAUGCGCCAAACCAGCCGACGGUGUCUCCGGGUCUUCACCUGACGUUCCGCGGCUAAAUACCGACGUAUGGUCGGUCGGCUCUUUCAAACGCCGUAUGAUCACUAUGGGCUGCUGUCCUGACAAGGACAUGCGGCGUGGCCGCCCUGAGGACAUCGUCCUGCCAAGGACAUAGGUCAACCCCAGUGAUUUGAUAGCCCAUGGCGACUUGUCAGUCCGCGGCGACUCUGACAGCCUCCGGCGAUUUGACAACUCCCCAGUUGUCUGCGCCAUUAAUGGCAGGAUCAUGCCGCGCCCUACUAUAAAACAGGGAAGGCAACAAUGUUGAAGAGAGGUUUUUUCUAAGCUCCUGAGCUCUCUCUCUCUCUCCCUAGCUCUCUCCCACUGAGCCCCUGAUUCUUUUCUACUGUUGCCUAAUCUCCUCUCUGACUUGACCGUCGGAGGAUCCCCGCCGGAGGCAUCUCCGGUCAGUGUGGACUUCUCUUGCAGGUGCUCGUUCCCGACGACCAAGCAACGAGGGGAUUGACCGCAACAACUACAUAGUUGAGGCCCAGGGUCCGAUCCCAAAUUACCUUCAUUUUCAAGAGAUCAUUAGGCAUAUGAGGGCACGGGUAUAGGUUAGCCUUGGAGCCUAGAAAUGACAAUUUGGGAUUGUUGGAGCUCCUUGCACAAUGUGGAACAAAGAGCAGCUCAGGAACAACGAGCAAUGUUGCCUGCAUCAUGAUGCUGAGACAUCACAUGUCAGAGGAAAUGCACCGAUUUUCCAUGUGAAAACAUAAACAAGCCUACAUAGUGAAGAAUUGUAUGACAGACAUUGACCCAGUGAGGGAAAAGGAAGAAAAAGUGAAGGAACCAAACUAAUUAUAUGCGAGAAGAAUACCUAGAUGCUCAGUUCUUUAUUAUGGAUUUGGUUGGAAGUUGAAGAACAAGUCACGGAGAGGCAAACCACCCAAAGAUUCUACUGAUAGGACCAUUUCAGAAGUUGCCAAUUUGAGGCGCAGAGUUUGGUCCCACUCAUUUUGCUAAAAAAAAGGUCAAUAUCCAGCAAUGAACAUGUGUAUCGCUAAGCUUUUUGUAUAUAUGUAGAAGAGGAAAAGUCGGUCCUUUUCUAGUUCUAAUGUAAAUUUUAUUAGUU